ACACUUUUAUACACCAUUUUUUAAACCAUCUAAAUAACAUGCUAAUGUAACGGAGACCGAAACACAAUGUUCAAAGUUCAAUUCCAUGUUGAAUUUAAUGAAAUACAUAUAAAAAUUUGACAUGGGGCUACUUUGAUAUAUCAUAUAGGGCAACUUUGAUAACUAUUUUAUACAUACAUUUAACAUGGCUCGCAAAUAUAGAAAGAAGAUUGGUGGUCGGUCUUAUAAAAAUUACUCAGAUGACAUUUUAGAGGAAGCACUAAAUAAAAUUGCCAAUGGUGAGAUUUCAAUAUUAGCUGCCAGCAAGGCAUAUAAAAUUUCCUAUGGAACAUUGCACAAUAAAUUCAAUGGCAAACAUGUUAAGAAGUGUGGUCAUCCAACGAUUUUAUUUAUAUUUAUUAUAUAUAUAUUAUAUUUUAUUGUUAUUGUUA
Molecule: long non-coding RNA, 431 nt
Organism: Sipha flava (yellow sugarcane aphid)
Lineage: Eukaryota; Metazoa; Arthropoda; Insecta; Hemiptera; Aphididae
Exons: 2
Source: RefSeq, a predicted model, not a curated record